RNAcentral lists this ribosomal RNA (654 nucleotides) under Achromobacter xylosoxidans. Its description in RNAcentral is "bacterial SSU rRNA". It matches the Rfam family "Bacterial small subunit ribosomal RNA", at positions 67 to 716 of the family's 1533-position model. The record is from RNAcentral. Lineage: Bacteria; Pseudomonadati; Pseudomonadota; Betaproteobacteria; Burkholderiales; Alcaligenaceae.
CGGCAGCACGGACUUCGGUCUGGUGGCGAGUGGCGAACGGGUGAGUAAUGUAUCGGAACGUGCCCAGUAGCGGGGGAUAACUACGCGAAAGCGUAGCUAAUACCGCAUACGCCCUACGGGGGAAAGCAGGGGAUCGCAAGACCUUGCACUAUUGGAGCGGCCGAUAUCGGAUUAGCUAGUUGGUGGGGUAACGGCUCACCAAGGCGACGAUCCGUAGCUGGUUUGAGAGGACGACCAGCCACACUGGGACUGAGACACGGCCCAGACUCCUACGGGAGGCAGCAGUGGGGAAUUUUGGACAAUGGGGGAAACCCUGAUCCAGCCAUCCCGCGUGUGCGAUGAAGGCCUUCGGGUUGUAAAGCACUUUUGGCAGGAAAGAAACGUCGCGGGUUAAUACCCCGCGAAACUGACGGUACCUGCAGAAUAAGCACCGGCUAACUACGUGCCAGCAGCCGCGGUAAUACGUAGGGUGCAAGCGUUAAUCGGAAUUACUGGGCGUAAAGCGUGCGCAGGCGGUUCGGAAAGAAAGAUGUGAAAUCCCAGAGCUUAACUUUGGAACUGCAUUUUUAACUACCGGGCUAGAGUGUGUCAGAGGGAGGUGGAAUUCCGCGUGUAGCAGUGAAAUGCGUAGAUAUGCGGAGGAACACCGAUGGC